Lycium barbarum (goji berry) is the source of this 993-nucleotide long non-coding RNA. RefSeq lists it as uncharacterized. The record is from RefSeq and is a predicted model, not a curated record. Lineage: Eukaryota; Viridiplantae; Streptophyta; Magnoliopsida; Solanales; Solanaceae. The transcript has 4 exons.
UCUCUCUUUUCCUUUCACCUUCUCUCGCCCCCUCUCUCUCUAACCCUAAUAACAGAACUGCAGUCACAAACGUCAGCUGCAGUGACGCUCGCCGCCGUCUGCCAUUGCCGUCGCCGUCCACAACCUUUUCCCUUUCUCUCUCUUUUGAUCUGACGUUUUCGCUCCCCCUCUCUCUAACCCUAAUAACGCCGCCUGCUAGUCAUCGUCGCCACCUUACAGUCACCGUCGCCGCCGUAUGCCGUUGCCGUCGCCGGCCUAUAUGUCAAUUUGAGUUCUAGUAGUAGUCGGAAUGCAUAGCUAGUUCCUCCGCAUCAGUCAAGCUAAUGAAUGAUGGGAAGGGAAUUAACAAAAGUAGCGCUUUCUAAGUUCUAAGAAGACAGGGAAGGGGAAGAGGCCAGGAAAGGGAGGGAAUCGAUACUUUAAGAGUAUUGGUUUGGGAUUCAAGACUCCUCGUGAGGCUACUGAAGGUUCUUGACCAGUUAUUGUAACUGCAGCAGAUGAUGCACCUGAUGCAACUAAAGGCAGUUGCUUUUUCAUGCAACAACAUCACCAACCUCAACAACUUUUUCAGAGGAAAGGGAGAGGCGGAGGGACGUGCAGUUUGACGGUAUGAGGGCCCAAUUAGACGCAUUACUUGCUUCGAGGGGGAUUCCCUCGUGUCCUGAUGAUGCUCGUAACCCCCAUACUCAAUCUAGUGGUGCGGAUGAUGAUGAGACUUACGUGUCAAACACACAAAGGCAUGUUUGAAUGUUAAUGUGGUGGUUGAUUUGUGGAUUUGCGAGGGGUGAAGUAGUCUAAUAUGUUGUAGACUAACUCAGUGUAGACUAGCUUAAUGUUUCGUGGAUGUUUACAAAUGUUGAAGUAGUUUAAUGUUGUUUUGAUGUUUGCGAAGGUUGAAGUAGCUUAAUCAAUGUCUCUUGUGAAUGUUUAAUUGACGUUUUUAUUCAACUUUGAAGUAGUUUCGAAUUGAAUGUGAUGUUUUGGUGGUUGUAA